GACCCUGGGGAAGGNUUCCA
Molecule: ribosomal RNA, 20 nt
Filed under: Lychnophora salicifolia
Lineage: Eukaryota; Viridiplantae; Streptophyta; Magnoliopsida; Asterales; Asteraceae
Description: partial 18S ribosomal RNA
Source: RNAcentral